AGAGUUUGAUCCUGGCUCAGAGUGAUCGCUGGCGGCGUGCUUAACACAUGCAAGUCGAGCGAAUUUUGGCAGCGUAUCGCCAGAGUUAGCGGCAGACGGGUGAGUAAUACUUGGGUAAUCUACCCUCGAGUGGGAAACAACCGGCCGAAAGGCUGGCUAAUGUCCCAUAAGACCACAGGACGGCAUCGUCCAGGGGUCAAAGCUCCGCAAGGGGCGCUUGAAGAGGAGCCCGAGUCCUAUCAUGGUAGUUGGUGAGGUAACGGCUCACCAAGCCUUUGACGGGUAGCCGGCCUGAAAGGGUGAUCGGCCACACUGGCACUGAGACACGGGCCAGACUCCUACGGGAGGCAGCAGUGGGGAAUUUUGGACAAUGGGGGCAACCCUGAUCCAGCGACGCCGCGUGAAGGAUGAAGGUCUUCGGAUUGUAAACUUCUUUUGGAGGGGAUGAAUGUCUGCGUGAAUAACGCAGAGUGACAGUACUCUCUGAAUAAGCCACGGCUAACUACGUGCCAGCAGCCGCGGUAAUACGUAGGUGGCAAGCGAUACUCGGAAUCACUAGGCGUAAAGCGCAGGUAGGCGGUUCGGUAAGUCUUUUGUGAAAGCUCCUGGCUCAACUGGGAGAGGUCAAAGGAAACUACCGGGCUAGAGUGUGGUAGGGGAUACUGGAAUUCCUGGUGUAGCGGUGAAAUGCGUAGAUAUCAGGAGGAAUACCUAUGGCGAAAGCAGGUAUCUGGGCCAUCACUGACGCUGAGCUGCGAAAGCUAGGGGAGCAAACAGGAUUAGAUACCCUAGUAGUCC
RNAcentral lists this ribosomal RNA (798 nucleotides) under uncultured bacterium. RNAcentral's name for it is "bacterial SSU rRNA". It matches the Rfam family "Bacterial small subunit ribosomal RNA", at positions 8 to 796 of the family's 1533-position model. The record is from RNAcentral.